This 44-nucleotide non-coding RNA is filed under the name Mytilus galloprovincialis (Mediterranean mussel). The record is from RNAcentral. Lineage: Eukaryota; Metazoa; Mollusca; Bivalvia; Mytilida; Mytilidae.
GCGCCACUGAUGAGUCUUGUGUGGACGAAACGCGCGUCUGGCAU